This 153-nucleotide ribosomal RNA is filed under the name Staphylococcus pettenkoferi. RNAcentral's name for it is "partial 23S ribosomal RNA". It matches the Rfam family "Bacterial large subunit ribosomal RNA", at positions 2767 to 2925 of the family's 2925-position model. Lineage: Bacteria; Bacillati; Bacillota; Bacilli; Caryophanales; Staphylococcaceae. The record is from RNAcentral.
GUCACAGGUGGAUAAGAGACAAGCCCCCCUCAGGAUGAGAUUUCCCAACUUCGGUUAUAAGAGCCCUCAAAGAUGAUGAGGUGAAUAGGUGCGAGGUGGAAGCGUGGCGACACGUGGAGCUGACGAAUACUAAUCGCUCGAAGCCAUAAUCAA